ACAAGAGUAGGAGGAGGAGGAGGGAGGGAGGGAGGAUGACGGUCUGCGGGUGAGGCGGCUUGAAAGUCAGUCGGCUUCACAGCCAUUGCAGCAGAGGCCCCGAAUCAAAGAGAAAGACGAAUGAAGACAGGCAGCGCGCACAGAAAUGCUUUGGAGGCGACGAAGGUGGCGACCCCGGAAAGCUUUUGUGUCUGCGUGUGCGAUGUGGCUGCGCAUGCUGCCGCUUGAGGUGGCGCCUUCACGACUUGCUUCGCAGUAAGCGCGCGACCUGCUGAGCAACGUCGUCGUCCUCUUUCCCCUCCUCCUCGCCCUCCCUAUUCCCAUUAAGCAGCAGCAGCCGCUCGCCGGGGCUCUCCGCACUAGAACUAAUUGCUGGAGUUCGCUUUGCGCCCGCUGGUCAGGGCGGCAAUUGGGAACCACGGCGCGCUCGGAGUCGGAGGCUUCUCCCUCCAGUGGACGGGUGGCCAGCCAGGCAAGCGAACUGGGCAAGCCAACCAGCCUCCCGCCUGGCCGGCCGCAAACAGAACUGCCGCUUGCCAAGAGGAGAGCUGGUCGUGUCGUAGCCGCCGCAGAAGCAGCGGGGGUCGUUGUGGGAGGAAUCAAGCAUGAGAAAUAGGAUGAGAAAAGACAAAAAAAGAAAACCUGGGUCUUAGAGAGCUGCUUGAAGAAAAGGCAUGUUUUUAUUCUGAAGCCAAAUUUUACAUAAUCGAUCUAGAUUAUCAUCUUUGAUGCACGUAUAUAUGAUAGCAGAGAUGGAUCAAAAUGGAACUUCGGAUGUUGAACAAAUAGGUAAUGGAGGAAACAUCCAAGAACUAUUGAAACUGCUGUACAUUGAAUUUUGUAGCAGGCUAUAGAUGUCCUUAUUAAUCUAAUCUCAAUUCACAAAUAACAAAACAGCCUUUAAAGUGAAUAAAAAGAAAGCUG
This 924-nucleotide long non-coding RNA is filed under the name Salvator merianae (Argentine black and white tegu). Its description in RNAcentral is "lncRNA (ENSSMRG00000000246.1)". Lineage: Eukaryota; Metazoa; Chordata; Lepidosauria; Squamata; Teiidae. The record is from RNAcentral.